GAAAAUAUGUUCUUUUAGUAUUUCUCCUGUAGGUUUCCUGAAGGAGGAAGCCUCC
Salmo trutta (river trout) is the source of this 55-nucleotide small nuclear RNA. Its record names the gene U7. It matches the Rfam family "U7 small nuclear RNA". Rfam says of the family: Animal histone pre-mRNAs are spliced by a different mechanism than nuclear pre-mRNAs and self-splicing introns. The record is from Ensembl. NCBI's taxonomy places the organism in Eukaryota, Metazoa, Chordata, Actinopteri, Salmoniformes, Salmonidae.